Molecule: long non-coding RNA, 4118 nt
Filed under: Aquilegia coerulea
Lineage: Eukaryota; Viridiplantae; Streptophyta; Magnoliopsida; Ranunculales; Ranunculaceae
Description: long non-coding RNA (ACOE_LNC001391)
Source: RNAcentral
UGUAAUGACAUAAUUUCUAGAUCGGUCAACCUGAAUCAUAAUUAAUCAACCUGAAUCAUGAUUAAGAUGUUUUCAUUGCAAAAAAACUAAAAACUAAAAAUUAAAUAAAAAAUUAAAUUAAGAUGUUUGUAGGAACUUGUUAUACACUAAUUUUAAUCAUGUUUUCACGCCUCCUAGACUUGCACCAAACCCAUAAUUCAUCUCUAAGGUGAGCCUAGGUUAAUUAAGUCUAUGUAAUUGACAAGGCCAAGCAAACUUAAGCAUGAAACCGUACCUUUUUUUCACCAAGGGGGGAAUUCUUCCAGAUUAUUGCCUUCUUGUUGAAGUCUUUGGCUUCAUUUGGCAAUUGGCGUCACUUAAUAGAUAAGCUGUUUCUUCUUCAGAGACAAUCCACUAAACAAUCUCCAUCUGAUUAAUGAUAAAGUUGGCUUGUAAAUGCUUCUGCUCAUUGUUUUAAUUAUUAUAACUGCCAAAUUACACUUAUACAUGAAAUUGUAGUUUAUACUUUAUAGCAUAGAUCAGAAACUCUUUUCAAAAAGAAAAAAAAAACUUAAACAUUAAGCAAUGCCAACCCUUUUGUACCAUAAGCAAGACCAAUGAAUAACAAAUAUAUAAUUAAAAUAAGAAGAGAUGAAGAGUAUAGAUUUUUAAGUAGAUUCCAUUAGAAUCAUCCAUGAUUAAAAUUCACUUCUAUUCUUGCAGAUUCCUCCAAAUUCUACCGAACCUUUGGGAGUCCUGGUUUUAAAAUCGCGUGGAUUUUUCCCGCACGCAUAUUGGUAUUGGAUUGGAGUUGGGGCACUAUUUGGAUAUAUGUUCCUAUUCAAUGGCCUUUACACUCUUGCACUUGGUUUUCUUGAACGUAUGUAUCCUUCUGUCAUUUUCUGUCAUACUUUUGCAGCUGAAAUCUACUGUUAUAAUACCGAGUCAUCAAAUUACUGCAGCAUUGGGGAAGCCUAAGGCAGUUAUAUCAGAAGAAACCAUUAAUGAGAGCUCAAAUGAUAUCUCAUCAGUUGGAGCUGCGGAAUCAUCCACGAACUCUUCAUCUAUGAGGACAGAACCUAAUCAGAUAAAGAAGGAAGGGAUGAUUCUUCCAUUCCAACCUCUUUCUAUCACCUUUGACGACAUCACCUAUUCAGUUGACAUGCCACAGGUUGUGGGACAUUUGCUUGAACGCCAGAGGUUUUCUCCCUUUUGAGUUUAAUUGCAGAAAUGCCAGAAAAUUCAUGCUUUUUCCUAUAUUCAAUUUGUAGGAAAUGAGAACUCAAGGUGUUACAGAAAAUCGUUUGGAGUUGCUGAAGCAUGUGAGCGGAGCAUUUCGUCCAGGUGUCCUUACAGCUCUAAUGGGUGUCAGUGGUGCUGGUAAGACCACUCUGAUGGAUGUACUGGCUGGAAGGAAAACUGGAGGUUAUAUAGAUGGAAGAAUCACCAUAUCUGGCUACCCCAAGAAGCAGGAAACAUUUGCUCGCAUAUCAGGAUACUGUGAGCAGAAUGACAUCCAUUCUCCUCAAGUUACUGUCUACGAGUCCUUAGUAUUCUCUUCAUGGCUUCGGUUAUCUCCUGAAGUUGAUUCAGAAGCAAGAAAGGUUAGUUAGCUUCCGGGUUUAAUCUGUUUAUUGUGCUUGUCACUGGGUCCGUUAAGGAAUCCAUUGAUUUGGGAAAGUGAUUGAUGAGUGCAGAAGUUUGUUGAGGAGGUCAUGGAACUUGUAGAGCUAUCUCCAUUGAGGGGAGCAAUCGUCGGGUUGCCUGGUAGAAGUGGUCUGUCAACUGAGCAACGCAAGAGAUUGACUAUUGCAGUCGAGCUUGUUGCGAACCCAUCUAUUAUUUUCAUGGAUGAACCGACAUCUGGCCUUGAUGCAAGGGCAGCAGCAAUUGUGAUGAGAACAGUGAGGAACACUGUGAACACAGGGAGAACUGUGGUGUGCACCAUUCACCAGCCAAGUAUUGACAUAUUUGAAGCCUUCGACGAGGUUAGAUAUUUUGAAAUAAGCAAGUAGGCCUUCAUCUCAAUAGACCUCUAUUACGUAUAUGAACCUUCACUUCUCAAUUUGGAUAUACAGUUAUUCUUAAUGAAGCGAGGAGGACGGGAGAUCUAUGUAGGCGCAUUGGGUAGUCACUCGUGUGAUCUCAUUAGCUACUUUGAGGUGAGUCAUGGUAAUUUGUCAGGAUCAAACUUGUAGAUUUCUCUUUUUGAGUCUUUUAGCAUCCGUUAAAUACGCAUGAUAAUAAUGAUGCAAUUACUUGUGCAUCAUCAAGGGAGUGGAAGGAGUUGAUAAAAUCAAAGAUGGCUAUAAUCCAGCAACAUGGAUGCUGGAGAUGACUAGUCGAGCACGAGAAGAAACCCUGAACGUCGAUUUUGCUGAACUAUAUAAGAAAUCUGAAUUAUACAGGUAAGGUUACUCAAGUCGUCAAGUAGGCAGAGACGGAACUUAAUUUUCUUUAUCUUAUUACUCGGUCACAUUUCAGGCGAAACAAAGCACUAAUCAAGGAAUUGGGUACUCCUCCACCUGGUUCAUCAGAUCUUCAUUUCUCCAGACAGUACUCACAGUCUUUUUUCACUCAAUUCAGAGCUUGCCUAUGGAAACAGUAUUGGUCAUACUGGCGCAACCCACCAUAUAAUGCAGUGAGGUAUCUAUUCACAACUGUGGUGGCAUUGCUGUUUGGUACAAUAUUUUGGGAUCUUGGCAACAAAAGGUAACUAAUAUUUAAGAAAUCCCCGAGGCACUUUGUUCAUCUUCUUCCUAGACUCUUCUGAUUCUGAGAUUUGACUUUAUUGGUUGAAAUUGCAGAAGCAGGCAACAGGAUUUGUUCAAUUCAAUGGGUUCCAUGUAUGUCGCAGUUCUAUUCCUUGGUGUAAAUAACGCUUCAUCUGUCCAGCCAGUUGUUGCUAUUGAAAGAACAGUUUUUUACAGAGAGAGGGCUGCUGGAAUGUAUUCAGCCUUGCCCUAUGCCUUUGGACAGGUACAUCUUUUUCCAUCAACCUUUUAAAAGUAGUUUUAGUUACAUAAGUUAGCUGUUUCUCAACAAGUCUCCUUAUCGUUGCAGGUUAUGAUUGAGAUUCCAUAUGUGCUUGUUCAGGCUAUACUAUAUGGGGUUAUAGUGUAUUCUAUGAUUGGAUUUGAAUGGACAGUUGCCAAAUUUUUUUGGUAUCUUUUUUUGAUGUACUUCACUUUAUUAUAUUUUACAUUCUAUGGGAUGAUGGCUGUGGGUGUGACCCCAAACCAACAGAUUGCUGCCAUUGUUUCUUCUGCAUUCUAUGGCUUAUGGAAUCUCUUUUCCGGUUUCAUGAUCCCCCAAACGGUAAAUUUCCUAUCUUUUAGUUACAUGGACAUAUUAUAAUUUUUUUAAGGAUGUUGAUUAUAUAUAUAUAUAUAGGUAUAUAUUGAGUUUUCUAUAUUAAUACAGAGGAUACCAAUAUGGUGGAGAUGGUACUACUGGUGUUCACCUGUCGCUUGGACCUUGUAUGGUUUGGUUGCUUCACAGUACGCAGAUGUAACUGAAAGGUUUGACACGGGUGAGCAAGUGAAAGAUUUUGUAAGGAGUUAUUUUGGCUUCAAGCAUGAUUUUCUACCCGUAGUUGCAGUGGUAAUCGUUGCCUUCGCUGUGGUCUUUGGUUUACUCUUUGCAUUGGCAAUACGGCAAUUUAAUUUCCAAAGAAGAUGAGAACAUCGUACGGUAGAUUAGUUUGCAAGAAACUUCUGUGGUACUCAACUUGUUGUACAUACAUUUUUCAUAUGUAAUGUAUAUGCCUUACAUUAUUCAUUUCAAACGCAAAUUCGAUAUAUCUAGAAGUAUUUUCACAUGUUCUUUGAUAUUUCUAAAUUUUGAAAACUACCUAAACGAAAGCGCGCUAAUGUUGUCAUUUAUAUCAAUUCACUCCAUUACAACAAUCAAAAAAAUGUUUUCUCAUAAACCAAAAAAAAAUUCAAGAACUCUACAAACUAGGCAAAUAAUAAUAAUCAAACCGCUUAAAUAUCAUAUACUCAAAAAAAAUUUAACAAAUCACACAACAAGCUCAUUAUAAAAUUUUGAUGCAAACCUCUUUCAGAAUAAGAUUGCUUGAUUCAAACAAACAAGCAAACCAGUGAUUCCUCUUUCUUCGCCCCUCUCUGCAAUUUCUC